Molecule: transfer RNA, 68 nt
Filed under: Lygus rugulipennis
Lineage: Eukaryota; Metazoa; Arthropoda; Insecta; Hemiptera; Miridae
Also listed under: 1 other name
Description: tRNA-Thr
Rfam family: tRNA
About the family: Transfer RNA (tRNA) molecules are approximately 80 nucleotides in length. Their secondary structure includes four short double-helical elements and three loops (D, anti-codon, and T loops).
Source: RNAcentral
GUUUUAAUAGUUUAAAAAAAACAAUGAUCUUGUAAAUCAUAAAUAGGUAAAUCUAAACCUUUAAAACU